RNAcentral lists this ribosomal RNA (433 nucleotides) under uncultured bacterium. Its description in RNAcentral is "partial 16S ribosomal RNA". It matches the Rfam family "Bacterial small subunit ribosomal RNA", at positions 29 to 507 of the family's 1533-position model. The record is from RNAcentral.
AACGAACGCUGGCGGCAUGCCUAACACAUGCAAGUCGAACGAGACCAUCGGGUCUAGUGGCGCACGGGUGCGUAACGCGUGGGAACCUGCCCUUAGGUUCGGAAUAACUCCCCGAAAGGGGUGCUAAUACCGGAUAAUGUCUUCGGACCAAAGAUUUAUCGCCUUUGGAUGGGCCCGCGUUGGAUUAGCUAGUUGGUAGGGUAAAAGCCUACCAAGGCGACGAUCCAUAGCUGGUCUGAGAGGAUGAUCAGCCACACUGGGACUGAGACACGGCCCAGACUCCUACGGGAGGCAGCAGUGGGGAAUAUUGGACAAUGGGCGAAAGCCUGAUCCAGCAAUGCCGCGUGAGCGAUGAAGGCCUUAGGGUUGUAAAGCUCUUUUACCCGGGAUGAUAAUGACAGUACCGGGAGAAUAAGCUCCGGCUAACUCCGUG